This 450-nucleotide ribosomal RNA is filed under the name uncultured bacterium. Its description in RNAcentral is "partial 16S ribosomal RNA". It matches the Rfam family "Bacterial small subunit ribosomal RNA", at positions 354 to 796 of the family's 1533-position model. The record is from RNAcentral.
GUGGGGAAUAUUGGACAAUGGGCGAAAGCCUGAUCCAGCCAUGCCGCGUGUGUGAAGAAGGUCUUCGGAUUGUAAAGCACUUUAAGUUGGGAGGAAGGGCAGUAAGUUAAUACCUUGCUGUUUUGACGUUACCGACAGAAUAAGCACCGGCUAACUUCGUGCCAGCAGCCGCGGUAAUACGAAGGGUGCAAGCGUUAAUCGGAAUUACUGGGCGUAAAGCGCGCGUAGGUUGUUUUGUAAGUUGGAGGUGAAAUCCCCGGGCUCAACCUGGGAACUGCCUCCAAAACUGCAUGACUAGAGUACGGUAGAGGGUAGUGGAAUUUCCUGUGUAGCGGUGAAAUGCGUAGAUAUAGGAAGGAACACCAGUGGCGAAGGCGACUACCUGGACUGAUACUGACACUGAGGUGCGAAAGCGUGGGGAGCAAACAGGAUUAGAUACCCCAGUAGUCC